ACCCUCUCAAACCCUAAAUCAGAGAAUUGGAAUAGAAAUCAAGGCUAAAUCUUAUGCAUGGACCUGAAUAUAUGAUCUUCUAGCCUUGCUAAACAUGUGUAUAGGAAAUCAUGUCAAGAUGGGUGGAAGCAUGAGAGGCUAACGGGUCAAGAGGACAUGAGGAAGCAAUGCAAAUACGGAUGCAUAAGGUAUCGCUCGGGUUUCCGCUACCAUUAUCAAAGUGACGCGGGCUUAGUUCGAGUUGAGAUCAAGGAUUGUACGGAGUAGAAAGGUCACAUAGUCUGACUCAUAUAGGUCUUGAAGCAUUAAUGUUAUAAAAAGUUGUAAAUCCGUUUUAAUGAUUA
This is a long non-coding RNA of Helianthus annuus (common sunflower), 344 nucleotides long. RefSeq lists it as uncharacterized. The transcript has 3 exons. The record is from RefSeq and is a predicted model, not a curated record. Lineage: Eukaryota; Viridiplantae; Streptophyta; Magnoliopsida; Asterales; Asteraceae.